Molecule: long non-coding RNA, 1172 nt
Filed under: Ailuropoda melanoleuca (giant panda)
Lineage: Eukaryota; Metazoa; Chordata; Mammalia; Carnivora; Ursidae
Description: lncRNA (ENSAMEG00000027654.1)
Source: RNAcentral
AUGGGGACUGAAUUAUUUCUUGCUAUGCCUCAGUUUCUGAAUCUGGAAAAACGGAGACAAUCCUGCCCACCCCCAGUGGGUUUUCGUACACAGGGCCUUGGGUACAGUAGGAACGCCACUGUCCCCUACCCCAUGCCGUGUAAGCUGCUCCGUGAACACUGCAGUGUUCCGGGGGCACAAGGCUGCCCCUCCCGGUUUGGAAAUCCAAAAGGGAAGCAUAGUCCACACUGUGGGCAUCAGGACACUUUGAAUCCCCUGCUUGGCCAAGGGAGUAGGGGAAUGAAUCAUUUUUGUGUUAACAGAAGGUGUGGAGAAGAGGACAGACAACCUGCCUCCCUGGAAGUCAGAGGGGAGCAGCUGGCCGGCAGGGGGCCGGGAGCAGCUGAGACAGAAUCCCAGCACCAUCGGCCACACGCACUGAUGAUGCCCGGCCCACAGCCUGCCUUCUGGAAGCCAUCACGUCACCGGGAUGCACAGGCGGCUGGACCCGUGGUACAGGCGCAGGGUGUGGGGCCUGAGCCUUGAAGUGGCCGGUCAGGAGGAAGGGAAACGUCUGUGGCCCGCCCAGCCGUCGGACAGGACAGCCCAGCCCAGCAGCCAGAGGGGCCCCUCUCCAUUCCUGAAACAGCCCGUCCUCCCGUCAUCUCGGGCCAGACACCCACAUCAGUGGUGAGGACAGGGGGCGCCACUUCCUCCGGGCCUCGCGAAAGGGUGCACUGUGUCCCAGAGAAGAGAACAAAGAACAUGCCCGCAGGCAGGCUCUCGGAGCAGGAGGCUGGUAGUGCCUGGUUCUACAGCCGGGUGUUGGGGGCACAGCCAGGCCUUGCUGUGCAGGCGCCCUGGGAGCAGCGAUGCUGCCAACAGGGAGCUGGAGAGGAGGCUGGGAGCUGCCUGGAUGGCCCUUGGAGCAGGGGAGGGGUUCGUGAAAAAGGAGGCCCUGAGGUGAGGACGUUGGGGUGGGGUGGGGGGCUACCAGAGGGGUUUAAAGAGGGAACCUCUUCGUUCACAGCUUCAUUCAGUGUUCCUGGAGAAUGGAUUCAAGUACCAGCAGCUCUGGUUGAGGGUUUAGGGUGGAGUGACCAGCAGAUGCUGGGAGAACAGCUGCCCACACACGGGAAGCAUGAGAAACAGCCCGGCAAUGCUCCAACCCUGGCACUGCCCGACCCUACCCU